Molecule: RNA transcript, 3143 nt
Organism: Sturnus vulgaris (Common starling)
Lineage: Eukaryota; Metazoa; Chordata; Aves; Passeriformes; Sturnidae
Source: RefSeq, a predicted model, not a curated record
CAGUUUUUUAAUCUGCCAUGUAACAAACAGUCAGUCUUCUAAACAGUCACUAAUAUAAAAACUAUAUACAAGUGGGGAUUUAAAACUUUUAUGUACCAUUCAAACCAAAUGCUUUAUUUAUUUUUAAUCUGUGUGUUUUGGGGUAGCAAUUCUAGAACAAAUAUUGCUGUACAUAUGCAAAUAUGAAUGCUUCUGAGCAAGUUUUAGAGGCAUAUCAUCUGACUGGAGAUGAAAGGCACAAACUUAAGUAAUCCCUAUUAUUUUUCCUGAUACUUUCUACUAUUCGUGAAUGUUGGUUCUGACUGUAUAUCAUCCAUAUAUAGAUAUUUUUUAUCAAGUUUUAUAUUAGUAGUAAAAAUAUGAACAUUAAGAGUUCUUGAAAAUCACAAGCAGAAUAUAUUGUUUCUGAUGAUUUCAAAUGCAUAUGCUCAAGACAGGGAAGGGUGAAUGAAUUUAUUUUUUAUUUUUCCUUUAGGCAAAUUUCCCUUUCAUGACCAAGGAAGGAGGAAACAACGUUUUUACAGUCCUGUGCAGUGCCUGUUACUAGAAAUGAUUUUCACUUUGUUCCUGAAAAGUAUGCCAAGUUUACUGGAGUCUCAACUGGGGUAUCUCUGAACUGGAGACUCUGGACUGGUGACUGAAAUUAUUUAGAAAAGACUAAUUAUGUGUGUGAGCAAUCUAAGUUGGAAGUUUGUGAAGUGGAGCUGUCCCGUGGCCAGUGAGAAGGGUUUUUUCCUAGCACCAAAGCGAGGGUACGUGUGUCCGAUGGGGAUGGGGUAAGGCGUGCGGCCGCGGCCAGCUCGGCUGCUUUGGAAGAGCGCGCCUUGUGAAGCCAAGCAAGAUGUGACCUUGGGAAUGCUGUCCCUGCAGCAGUGGGAAGCCAUUGCUUUCAGCAGGGCUUGUGGAGCAGUGGGAGGCAAUGAGGAGGUGUGGGAGCAGCAGAGGGGCCUGAGCUUGCUCCCAGGCUGCCACAGUAACAACGGGCCCGGAGGGAUCCUGAACAUCUCUGCUGCCGGCGCCACCUCAGCCGCGGUAAAGCCCAGGGUCCUGGUUUCACCUGCCACUGCUACACAGGUGUUUUCACUGCAGAGUAAAUGCUGCAUUGUUAAAGAAAUACAAGGCUUUUCCUGCAUAAUUUCUACAAAGUCAUGAGUUAAAACUUUGAAACAGUCAUAUUGAAACAGAGCACUCACCCAGUUUUAUUUAUUCAAGCUUUUGUCCCUGGAGUGGACAGGGCACUGUGAAGGUACUAACCAGUGCUGCUCUUCUCCUCACAGGCCGUUGUGUCACCUCUCAGCCUUACCAGUGGCCUCUCCGCAUUCACUUCAAACCUUUCUCCAACAGAUGUGGCCAUAUAAAGUCAGUGAAUUGUAACCCCAUGCAGCCAACACACAGUGUGUUUCUUUCAGUAUUUUAAUACAAAUAUAUGCUCUAGAAAGGGAACUUCUCUGUCAUUUUUCUUACCUCUCCUUAUGAUGAAUUUCCCAUGAAUUUUAUUUGCUCUGUGCUUUUCUACUCUGUAUAGGAAAUCCUUUUUUCUUAAUCCAGCUCUAAAUAUUGUGGAGCUUGCUGCCACUCUGUUACUCCAUCACUAAUGCCAGGAUUUUAGCUGUAGAAAAAAUGGCAUGGAGGAAAGGGAAUUCUGUAAACACCUAUUCUUGGAAAAUAACAAAUGAACCUAUACUGAAAUGCGUCAGUAUUAAAAACUAUAAAAUAAAUUUUUAAAAGGAUAUGAAGCCUUUUGUUACUUAUACCAACCAAACAAAUGUUAAUUAAUUAAGGGUCAAGGAAAUAUUUUUCCUAGCAUUUGUUUAUUAUUCCAAUAGAAAUCAUCAGUUUGUCUUAACUAAAGCAAAGGUGACUCCUGCAGCACAGCUCUGAUGCAGUGUAACCCCUACAGACACUGACUUCAGAAAAACAGUACUUACCAUAUUAUUUGUUUAAACAAAUCAAACACAUUUGAAUGAGAAACUAGCAGUGUUUAAGACAAGAAACUUCAGCAGUGUUUAAAAAACUUGGUGCUAAUGAUUAGGAGUGUUUAAGAAACACUAAUCUUUGCAUGAAACUAUUAAGCUCUGUUUUUUUACCAUUAAUGAGCAGGAAAUGCAUGUUUGCACAGGAGGGUCAUGCUUCGAUAGUUUAAUCUUUUACUUAGGUUAAUUUUUAUUCAACAUGAUAAUGACUUAGUGCACUAACUUUUCACUGUUCAUUCAAUUUUUCUCUGUAACUUUCAUGGUCACCAUUUUAUUAGAUUUAGCAGAAGAGAAAAACAGGUCUUGUAGAUUGUUUUUUAAUCAUCUCACAUUUUGCUGGUAGGGAGAUCCUUUUGCUGAGGAAUUAAACUUUGGUAGCAGUCAAAACUGGUCUUAUUUAAAAAAGUAAACUGCCUCUGACCUGACUGUUUUUCAUCUUGACAAGCAGUAAAGCUGAAUAUAAGCACAACUUUUUUCUGUAUUUAUAUUUCAUAAAGACCAGUUGGCAACACUUCUUAGUUCUAUUGGCUGUGCCAACAUCAUGUGUUAUGUCUACACAAUGAAAAACUUUGUGAUACAUUAUCCCUUCUCACCCACAUCAUGAUGCUUAAGAAAGUGGCAUGCCAGGCCAUAAACUUCUACUUCUCCAGAAGCCAUGACAUGCAAAAUUGCUGACCAAACACACUGUUUAGUUCAUGCAGCCUCCACAUACCUCCCACUGUCUGAUCUGCAGUGUUCCAACAGCUGUAGUUAUACACAGUGGAACUAACAUUCUGUAGCACUUGUGUUUAAAGUUUCAGAUAGUUCCAUGCAAAUUGCCCAGUAAAUCAUAAUUUAUCAUUUUUUGUUUUUGUAGAAGUACCUAAGGAUAGCAGUUGAAAUCACAGGCUCAUUUUAUAAGGGGUGCCAGAAAGAUACAUAAAUAAGUAACUAUCUUAUUUCUCCAAACAGCUUAUUAUUUUUUGCAUUAGAGAGUUGAUUAAAUACAAAAAGGUGAGAUUAAAAUCCCCCCCACAGUGUACAUUUACAAAUUAAAUGUGUGUGAAUUACUCUAUAUAGAAAACCAAGAGCUCUUAUAUACACACUACAUACUAUCAAAGGCUAGCAGAAACACCAAAAAUGCUUUUAUCUGAAUUUUAAGAGUAUUUUGCACAGAUGUGCUUCUAAAUU